GAUGAACGCUAGCGGGAGGCCUAAUACAUGCAAGUCGAACGGUAAGGUCCUUCGGGAGUACACAAGUGGCGGACGGGUGCGUAACGCGUACGGAAUAUACCUUCAACAGGGAGAUACCUCCGGGGAACUGGAAUUAAUACCCCAUAGUAUUAUAGAUUCGCAUGAAUUUAUGAUUAAAGCUCAGGCGGUUGAAGAUUAUCGUGCGUCUGAUUAGGUAGUUGGUAGGGUAAUGGCCUACCAAGCCAACGAUCAGUAGCUGGUCUGAGAGGAUGAUCAGCCACACUGGAACUGAGACACGGUCCAGACUCCUACGGGAGGCAGCAGUAGGGAAUAUUGGGCAAUGGAGGCAACUCUGACCCAGCCAUCCCGCGUGCAGGAAUAAGGCCCUAUGGUGUAAACUGCUUUAUUAGGAAGAAAACUUACGAUUCAUCGGAGCUU
RNAcentral lists this ribosomal RNA (438 nucleotides) under uncultured bacterium. Its description in RNAcentral is "bacterial SSU rRNA". It matches the Rfam family "Bacterial small subunit ribosomal RNA", at positions 28 to 470 of the family's 1533-position model. The record is from RNAcentral.